This 424-nucleotide long non-coding RNA is filed under the name Phoenix dactylifera (date palm). RNAcentral describes it as "long non-coding RNA (PDAC_LNC009602)". The record is from RNAcentral. Lineage: Eukaryota; Viridiplantae; Streptophyta; Magnoliopsida; Arecales; Arecaceae.
GGACGGGCUUCUUGGUCUGGGUAAUGCCUUGGUUUUCGAUCCUUCUCUGCUACCGUGAGCCGAAAAAGAAUACGGGGCUGAGACCCAGAGGAAGGAGGGGGUAGCGGGCGAGAUAAGGACAAGCACCGAAGAAGACUUCGAAACAACGGCAUCGAUGUGUGUAGAAUUUCCUCCUAUCUCAAUUUUUGUAUUUGGUGCUCUGAUGCCUGCUACCAUCGUUUCGGCGCCUCUCUUUUUCCUUUUAAAUUUAUUCUAACUUCAUAUCAAAAAGAGAAGAAUGACAGUGAUUAUUUUAGAUUAUUUUCUUCUUGAUGAUUGCCUGAACUCAAGCAGGUGCACCCAACAUUUGGUUUGAUCGCUCAUACUAAGAUCAAGUUGGGUGCACGAUUUUAAAACUGGGCAGCCCAACAUUGGAAGCUAGAAC